This is a long non-coding RNA of Culex quinquefasciatus (southern house mosquito), 244 nucleotides long. RefSeq lists it as uncharacterized. The record is from RefSeq and is a predicted model, not a curated record. Lineage: Eukaryota; Metazoa; Arthropoda; Insecta; Diptera; Culicidae. The transcript is spliced from 2 exons.
GGAUGUGCAGACGAGAACGGGCGAGGUUUUGGUCAUGUUUUGACUAAAAAAUCGGAACAGGUCGAACCGAGACUUUGUCGGAGACGAUGCCGGAUACCUUCAGCGUUGGACAUUGCGGAAGGAUUUAAAGUCCAGGAGAAGUAUUGGCCGUAAAAAGUUAUGCCGUCGAGCAUCAUUUUGAUUUAGUGUUGGAUGAUUCUAAAUAGUGCAUUAAUUAUCGAAUAAUAAAUUGAUUUGAGUUGUA